Molecule: transfer RNA, 73 nt
Filed under: Sus scrofa (pig)
Lineage: Eukaryota; Metazoa; Chordata; Mammalia; Artiodactyla; Suidae
Rfam family: tRNA
About the family: Transfer RNA (tRNA) molecules are approximately 80 nucleotides in length. Their secondary structure includes four short double-helical elements and three loops (D, anti-codon, and T loops).
Source: Rfam by way of RNAcentral
UCCCUGGUGACCUAGUGGUUGAGGAUCUGGCAUUGUCACUGCUGUGGCUCAGGUUUGAUCCCUGGCUUGGGAA